UAGGUGCAAGCCACUUCAAUAGAGGGACCAGAGGGUGCAACCACAGAGCCAGGAAAGAUCAUAACGGCAAAGGCUGUCGGUGGGCUGAUUGUGAGGUCAGAACUAAAAAACAUUUUCAAAUUUAAGUACACAAGGAAGCUGGCUCAGGAAUCAAGUGCCCCAGAAUCAGAGGACUUCACAACAUGAUCUCUUGCGCACUAGACCACCCUGAGUCCCUUGUAGAAGAGAAAGAGAUUGCUCGCUUUCCUAAUGCCCUGUCGACCUUGAGUACAGAGAGAAAGUGUAUCUCAGCUGGAGCAGGGGCUGGCCCAAAGUGUGGCGACACUGAAUCACCAGUCCAGUGAAGAAUACCGAAUCAACCUCAUUUCCCAAUGAGAAACCAUCUCACAGAAAAGUGAAGCCCAUUAGCUGAGGUCCAUGGUUAAAGAGUGAAUGAGUUACUACUGUCAACAGUCUGGUCUUUGCUGAUGUCUGCACUUCCCUUCUCACAUACUGUGCAACCCAGAAGGAAUACACUCUGAAGACUGUCUGGCCAAACCUUGCCACGGAGGAGCUUACGUUUUUGUCACGUGGCUGAGUAGAGGGUCAACUGUCUCAGCCUGACACUUUUGCAUUAAAUCUACUACAUGAAAGGAUAGGACCUGGGUUGAAACAUAAAGGCAACCCUGUUCAUCUCCACCAGGCUUGUUUAAGCAUCAGAGUGACAGGGUGUCAGGGCUGUGCCAUUUGUGCCCACACCUCCUCCAAUGGUGGUAAAAGUGGUUUGAAGGCCUCCAUGGCAUCCUAGAAAUGCAUGCCCACUGUAUCGGGAAAG
This 814-nucleotide long non-coding RNA is filed under the name Equus caballus (horse). Its description in RNAcentral is "lncRNA (ENSECAG00000036243.3)". Lineage: Eukaryota; Metazoa; Chordata; Mammalia; Perissodactyla; Equidae. The record is from RNAcentral.